Molecule: long non-coding RNA, 224 nt
Filed under: Ricinus communis (castor bean)
Lineage: Eukaryota; Viridiplantae; Streptophyta; Magnoliopsida; Malpighiales; Euphorbiaceae
Description: long non-coding RNA (RCOM_LNC002433)
Source: RNAcentral
GUCAACCAUUCUUGUCUCUGCAAGUUUCUCUACAGUUCUUAUAGAUAUUUAGUUUUUAGUUUUCAUUGUUCUUUUAGAUCUAAGAAGCUUUUCAAGAAGUGUAGAGUGAGGAUCAAUCAUCUUACUACCAAGUCAAUCUGAACAAGCCAACUCUAUUACUACUAUUAGAAAAUGUGAGGUCGAUGAUAAUAAAAUUAAUAUAAAAAUUGAAGGGAAUUCUUCUU